Long non-coding RNA from Sapajus apella (tufted capuchin), 854 nucleotides. RefSeq lists it as uncharacterized. The record is from RefSeq and is a predicted model, not a curated record. The transcript is spliced from 3 exons. Lineage: Eukaryota; Metazoa; Chordata; Mammalia; Primates; Cebidae.
AGGCCUAACGUGAGUUUAUUGCAGACGCCAAUUUACUGUUGGAAAUAGUAGAGGCAAAACGUGCAAGACUUGGAAUGUGUGAAGCCUCUGUGAUGUGCCUAAUAAUAAUCUUGUCCACUUUGAGCAGGAAAAAAAUCAAGGUGUACUGAAGAAAAUGAGCCUUGCCCCAAAGGAGAUAGAAGUUGGGGAAGAUGAGAUGUGAGAAGAUAAGGACAAUGGCAGUAGAGACGAGAAGAACGGCAGGAAGAAUGCUACUGCCCCAGGAAAGAAAGUAGGGGAGGAGAAGUCUCUGGCUCCUGUGUUUGCUGAGAAGUUAAUAUCACCAAGCAGGAGGGGAGCCAAGCUCAAGGACCAUGAGAGCUACCAGGAGAAUGAAGACAGGAACACAGCUGAACCACUUGUAGCUUUCAAACUGUUUGUUGGAAACCUGAAUUUCAACAAAACUGUUGCUGAACUACAAGCUGGUCUCAGUGAAUUUUUUGCUAAAAAUGAUCUUGAGGUUGUUGGUGUCAGGGUUGCCUUGUCCAGGUAAAUACCAAUAAAUUAAGAAGGUUUUUAAGAGCUUAUCAGCCCAGCACUUGAUGUUCGUGGAGAAUUGAGGAGUUCCAAUAGCUUUAUGCUACUUCAUCGUGGCUCAUAGGCUGCUGUCUUCUCAGGUCCUUUUGUUGCCUGCUCUUCACCCUUUGGUGGGAUUUUACCUCAGUCAUUUGCAGUUCAAAAUGAAUGUUUAAAAUCCUUCAAUGGCUCAUGCUUGGUAAAUCUGUUAUAUUUAACUUUGCUACCUAUUUUCUCAACCAAAAUAUUAAAAUAAUCCCAAGAUCUUCCAAGUCUUAGAGACAGGGUCUCGCUGUUUU